UCAGUCUAAAAGUUGUAAUAACCAUUUGUAACAACAGGUUGUAUAUUUUGUUAGUGAGAUCGCGUAUUUCGAGGGUGAGUCCGACGACACGACCUGCCACUCGAUUAUUAAAACUGUAUCGCAAAUUUAACUACCCCUCAGUAACUGGUAGUGUCAAAACGAAAUCGCUUGAAAAAAUGUUGGAACUGGCAACUCAAGUUGAUAAAUUAUUGAUUUUGAAAAACAGUUACCAGUAGCCUUGGUAACUACACAAGGAAUGUAAACAAAAACAAGAGAUUCUCACUUAAAACGAAACCACUGAGUGUAGUUGGCCCGCUGGCAGGUAUUAAAUUUAUUAUUUCAGAGAGUUUUGAAUCAUUUUGGCGUAUUUUUUUUAAUUUGUAUCUUUUUUUAAUGAACUGGAACAAUUUCGUCGCUGCCACAGAGAGGAAGGCUUUUACGACGACACGACCAGACACUCCGAAGAAAAAUCGGAAUAAAAAGUGUUCGUGAGCGAUUUACCACCAGUUACCAUAAAUAUAGCGACCCCUUGAAAAUGACAAAAACUAACUAUUCGAGCAACACUGUUUAAGUUGCUAUGAGCUAGUUACCAAGGAGCACCAGAAUAAAUAAACACACAGUUGUGGAAUAAUUCCACAUUUCAUGAUUAUUUAAAAUCAUUUACAAAAAACUGCGCUGAUGCUUGUUCGAUCUCGAAAAAAGAAAUUACGAUGGAUUGGUUAGUAUCUAGUGAAGUUACAAGUCGUCUGGAGCGAGUUAUCAAAAAGUCUACAUUCAAUCGGCUUGGUGGACUAGUAUUAGACCAGGAAGCUCGAGCAUUGGCUUCAUUCCUUACGGGAGCUACAUCCUGGUCCGUUCGCGAUAAGCUUGCCAGAUUGCAACAAAUAGCGACAAUUCUGAAUCUAGAGAGCGUUUCAGAAUUACCUGAGUAUUGGGAUUCGUCUUAAACAACAUGGCGUCUGACACCUAGCGAAGUCCGGAAUUCUUGCGUUAAGGCUGAACUUCAAAAUAGACGACAUAAAAAGUUGAAACUUUAAACGAGAAAUGUAAGUAUUUCUGGGAACGUUAUGAAAGUGAUAAAUGCU
Long non-coding RNA from Malaya genurostris, 1085 nucleotides. RefSeq lists it as uncharacterized. The transcript is spliced from 3 exons. NCBI's taxonomy places the organism in Eukaryota, Metazoa, Arthropoda, Insecta, Diptera, Culicidae. The record is from RefSeq and is a predicted model, not a curated record.